This 524-nucleotide ribosomal RNA is filed under the name uncultured bacterium. RNAcentral describes it as "bacterial SSU rRNA". It matches the Rfam family "Bacterial small subunit ribosomal RNA", at positions 777 to 1301 of the family's 1533-position model. The record is from RNAcentral.
AAUAGAUACCCCGGUAGUCCACGCCGUAAACGAUGUCGACUUGGAGGUUGUGCCCUUGAGGCGUGGCUUCCGGAGCUAACGCGUUAAGUCGACCGCCUGGGGAGUACGGCCGCAAGGUUAAAACUCAAAUGAAUUGACAGGGGCCCGCACAAGCGGUGGAGCAUGUGGUUUAAUUCGAUGCAACGCGAAGAACCUUACCUACUCUUGACAUCCAGAGAACUUAGCAGAGAUGCUUUGGUGCCUUCGGGAACUCUGAGACAGGUGCUGCAUGGCUGUCGUCAGCUCGUGUUGUGAAAUGUUGGGUUAAGUCCCGCAACGAGCGCAACCCUUAUCCUUUGUUGCCAGCGAUUCGGUCGGGAACUCAAAGGAGACUGCCAGUGAUAAACUGGAGGAAGGUGGGGAUGACGUCAAGUCAUCAUGGCCCUUACGAGUAGGGCUACACACGUGCUACAAUGGCAUAUACAAAGAGAAGCGACCUCGCGAGAGCAAGCGAACCUCAUAAAGUAUGUCGUAGUCCGGAUUGG